Molecule: ribosomal RNA, 190 nt
Filed under: uncultured bacterium
Lineage: Bacteria
Description: partial 16S ribosomal RNA
Rfam family: Bacterial small subunit ribosomal RNA
Source: RNAcentral
CCUACGGGAGGCAGCAGUGAGGAAUAUUGGUCAAUGGUCGAAAGACUGAACCAGCCAAGUAGCGUGAAGGAUGAAGGUUCUAUGGAUUGUAAACUUCUUUUAUACGGGAAUAAAACCUCCUACGUGUGGGUGCUUGUAUGUACCGUAUGAAUAAGCAUCGGCUAACUCCGUGCCAGCAGCCGCGGUAAUA